This 84-nucleotide transfer RNA is filed under the name Prevotellaceae bacterium. RNAcentral's name for it is "tRNA-Leu". It matches the Rfam family "tRNA". From Rfam's summary of the family: Transfer RNA (tRNA) molecules are approximately 80 nucleotides in length. The record is from RNAcentral. Lineage: Bacteria; Pseudomonadati; Bacteroidota; Bacteroidia; Bacteroidales; Prevotellaceae.
GCCCGGAUGGUGGAAUUGGUAGACACACUAGUUUCAGGGACUAGCGGUCGUAAGGCUGUGCAGGUUCGAGUCCUGUUCCGGGCA